Anolis carolinensis (green anole) is the source of this 2435-nucleotide long non-coding RNA. RefSeq lists it as uncharacterized. The transcript is spliced from 2 exons. Lineage: Eukaryota; Metazoa; Chordata; Lepidosauria; Squamata; Anolidae. The record is from RefSeq and is a predicted model, not a curated record.
UACCUGAGAGUUAACAACAAUAAUGAAAAUAAUAAGUACAGUCAACUGUUGUAAUUCACAGUAGUAUCUUCCAGACUAUAAUGUUUAAAGGAAACUGUAAGGGUUGCCAAAUCCAAUUGGAGUCUUCAGAAACUGUUUAAAUAGUGGAGACUACUUGAUAUGUUUUGACUUUAGUCCACAUUUAAGCCUUGAUAAUUAUAGUUUCCUUUAAAGAUUACAGUCUGGAAGAUACUACUGUGAGAGUAUAGUGGAGAUAAAUAAUGCGGAUGAUGGGUGGGCGCUAGGACCCAGGGGACAGCUUUUUCCCAUUGCCUGCCUUUCCUCCUGCUGGCGAGCUGGAUUGUUCUUGUGUUGCCAUGAGGUUUCUCUUUCCCUCCUGGCAUGGCUCCCAUGUCCGUGGUUCUCUCCUUUAAGUGAGGGAAAGUGGGUGCCGCCAUUGUGGCUCUCCUGGUCAGGAGAAGCAGGAGGAGCAGGGAGAGUGCGGUUGACAUGCUGGUCAUGGGAGGAGGGCAGAGGUUCUGCCGUAGGGUGCUCCCGCAACCUUCGGGUGUGACAGCAAAGAGGGACAGAUCCAUUAGGCCCACCCUUCAGGACUUACCUCCCGAGGUGUGGUCAAAUGAUGGUCCUGUGGUCGAGGAGGAGGUAGGGCCCUUGUGCCGUGUCCAGUCAAAGCUGUCAGUGUCCGACUGCAUCCAGGAGCAGAAGUCCGCGUCAAAGGAGCAGGAGAAGUCACAGGAAGUGGAGGAAUCUGAGAAAGGGACAAGAGUGGUUUGACCUAAGGAAGGACCACUCCAGCUCCAACCAUGGUUGAGGAAAGGUCUCCAACCCAGAAAGUGAAUGUCCACUGCUGAUUCCUUUUGGACCUCCCCUUCCAGUCACUUAGAGCAAAGCUUAUGCAGACAAGGAAGCCAUUUCUGCAUGCCCUCUCCAUUUUCUCUUUCCCUUCCUUCCCCUUUCCAGUAAUCUCUAUGGUCCACCUGGCUACUCAAGAUGGAAGAGGCAAGCACUACAACUCUUUAGCAGGAGCCAUCCAGGGAGCAGCUCUCCAUGCCUCUCAAGGAACCCAAGGACAUCGGAAAGUCCACUUUCCAGAGAAGGAGAAGUGGUUCUGGCCUAGAGCUUUGGCAAAACCAGGGCUUCCUUUGCCUUUUCUCUGAUCCUAUUUCCUUUCCUCACUGUUUGCUCAAGAUGUAGAAGAUGCAGCCCUAGACCUGGCAGAGAAGUUGGGGUGGCUUUCAUGGAAAGCAGGAUCAAGAAAAGUGGAUCUAGUAGGACUAAAUGCACUGCUCUAUAGGAUAUGAUCCCAGAUUAUCUGCUUUAUGAGUCUUCACUGCCAGAUAAGCAGAUAAUCUGGGAUCAGAUCCUGAGAUAUAGGGACAGUGUGGAAGGGGUCUGAGAUACUUACUCAUAGGACUCUUGAAGAGAAACAUUUUGAGCUGAUGGGUUGGUUGCCUUUUCAUUCAUUAACUAAUCAUGCAGUCUGUUGCCUAUCAACGCCUUCAGCAAGAUAAGAUAUUGAGGGCAAUGCAAGAUCAUAAGGAAGAUAAAGAACUGGGUGGAUUUCAAACAGAUUAAUCUGGCCUUCCCUUGUGCAAGUCAAUGGCCUGCCCAACUCUCAGCUGACCAUCCAAGGCUGCCUUUCUUGAGUCUUUCCAGUAGCCCAUUGACUCCAGUCCAGACUCUGAUUGGAAUGUCUCAAGCUGAAGGCUUCCUAGUCUUGCAUUGUCCCAUAUACACUUUUGACAAUAUGGAUGACUUAAGGGCUGGGCCUUCUUUCUUGAACCCACAGGCUUAAGCUAUGGGCCUAUGGUGGGUGACAAUGGGACCUUCAGGAAAGACAGGCUCUUCCCCACCCCAUUUUCACUGCAUCUCCUUUACAAUGGACUCAAAUACGAGUGAUGGGACCACAUACCUGGUGUGUGGGUUGAUGUGGUUGUCUCAGUUGGGACUGUGGUGGGAGGCACUAGAAGGAAAGAAACCAAGCCUUGUUUUGAAAAAAGGAAUCUAUAUCAUUUCAUUUAUGACACACCUUCAGUCCAUCAAGUAUCUCCUUCACGCUUUGGGGUCUUAAGAGCAAACCUGGGAAGCUGAGCAGCUGGAAAGAGAGCAACUGGGACCCAAAGUUGAUGCAGAGAGAUUUGUGGAUCUGGAAGUCCCAAGUCUCAUCCCAAGUCUCUGAACUGUCACAUAGAGCAGAAUAACCCGGGCUAUGGCGCAGGCUGAUAAAGCAGUCAGCUGCAACAAAUCACUCUGACCAAGAGGUCAUGAGUUCGAGGCCAGCUCGGAGCUGCGUUUGUCUCUGUCUUUGUUCUAUGUUAAGGCAUUGAAUGUUUGCCUUAUAUGUGUGAUGUGAUCCGCCCUGACUCCCCUUCGGGGUGAGAAGGGCAGAAUAUAAAUACUGUAAAUAAAUAAAAUAAAUAAAUAAAAUGUCAACA